UAAUACAUGCAAGUCGAACGCACUCUCGUUUAGAUUGAAGGAGCUUGCUCCUGAUUGAUAAACAUUUGAGUGAGUGGCGGACGGGUGAGUAACACGUGGGUAACCUGCCCUAAAGUGGGGGAUAACAUUUGGAAACAGAUGCUAAUACCGCAUAAAACCUAACACCGCAUGGUGUAGGGUUGAAAGAUGGUUUCGGCUAUCACUUUAGGAUGGACCCGCGGUGCAUUAGUUAGUUGGUGAGGUAAAGGCUCACCAAGACCGUGAUGCAUAGCCGACCUGAGAGGGUAAUCGGCCACACUGGGACUGAGACACGGCCCAGACUCCUACGGGAGGCAGCAGUAGGGAAUCUUCCACAAUGGACGAAAGUCUGAUGGAGCAACGCCGCGUGAGUGAAGAAGGUUUUCGGAUCGUAAAACUCUGUUGUUGGAGAAGAAUGUAUCUGAUAGUAACUGAUCAGGUAGUGACGGUAUCCAGCCAGAAAGCCACGGCUAACUACGUGCCAGCAGCCGCGGUAAUACGUAGGUGGCAAGCGUUGUCCGGAUUUAUUGGGCGUAAAGCGAGCGCAGGCGGUUUCUUAAGUCUGAUGUGAAAGCCUUCGGCUCAACCGAAGAAGUGCAUCGGAAACUGGGAAACUUGAGUGCAGAAGAGGACAGUGGAACUCCAUGUGUAGCGGUGAAAUGCGUAGAUAUAUGGAAGAACACCAGUGGCGAAGGCGGCUGUCUGGUCUGUAACUGACGCUGAGGCUCGAAAGCAUGGGUAGCAAACAGGAUUAGAUACCCUGGUAGUCCAUGCCGUAAACGAUGAGUGCUAGGUGUUGGAGGGUUUCCGCCCUUCAGUGCCGCAGCUAACGCAUUAAGCACUCCGCCUGGGGAGUACGACCGCAAGGUUGAAACUCAAAGGAAUUGACGGGGGCCCGCACAAGCGGUGGAGCAUGUGGUUUAAUUCGAAGCAACGCGAAGAACCUUACCAGGUCUUGACAUCCUUUGACCACUCUA
Molecule: ribosomal RNA, 995 nt
Filed under: bacterium enrichment culture clone PCE10_B4
Lineage: Bacteria
Description: bacterial SSU rRNA
Rfam family: Bacterial small subunit ribosomal RNA
Source: RNAcentral